Molecule: long non-coding RNA, 2723 nt
Filed under: Ooceraea biroi (clonal raider ant)
Lineage: Eukaryota; Metazoa; Arthropoda; Insecta; Hymenoptera; Formicidae
Description: uncharacterized LOC113561615
Source: RNAcentral
AGCUCAUCCAUGCUUGUCCGAUGCUCAAUAUUUCAACGGCUGAGGAAUCUGUCACGUUUAUCCGAUAUAGUACGCGCAUCGGUAAGGAUAUUACGAUAUAUCGAAAAAUCUCACACAGAUGUAACUGGUAAUUUAUACUUUUUAUAAAUUGUUACGCUUUUUUUAUUGUUUGUGAUUCUGAAUUUUGUCAGUUAAAAGGAUAUAACAGACUGCACGGUUUAUUAUCUGUUUAAUAAAUGAAUAAUAAAAGAAAUAUUACAGUCGACUAGAGAGAAAGAAAAGAUUCAAGUAGUGAGAGAGAAAAAUGUCGCGACAUCAUUAAUUUUAGUCUCUGUCAUGUGUCUCACAAUUCGUGCCUCACAGAAAAUAAGAAAAGGAGAAAUCUAUUUUAUUCUUUAUUCUCUGCAAUAUCGUUCACUUUCUAAUUUCAAUGUCGCGUUAUAAAUUUGGAGCGUUUGACGAAGGGGAGGGUAACUGACGUGGCGCAAUGCGGAUGCUGGAUAAAUAUACUCGCAUUUCGCGGCUUAUAUGAGCGCGCAUUGAAAUUUACAUCGCGGAUUAAGUGCGAGGCAGGGGAUGAACGCAAAGUGUUAGCGUAACGCAUAACGAGAUUCACAACUGCGAGGCACGAGGCGAGCCUAAUCCUCGAUUAUAGCAUGCGACCCCUUUAUUAAUACGGCCGCUUUAUUAAUACGGCCGGUUAUAGCAAUCGAAUAACAGAGCGCUAUAAAUAAGCCAAUACAGCGCGUGAUUUUUAUUGCCGUAUAAAUUAUCUUUCAGCACGCGCGCGUCGAAGACAAAACGAUUCGGAAUAUUGAUUUAUAUACAUACGAAAUGCGCGUUAUAAUAUGUACAUGACGUACAUAACGACUACAUGAUUACGCGAAUGUAGACGUCAUUUCAUGUAAUCACGAAUGCGUCAUAAAACAUAAAUUUAUAUCCGAUCACUCAAAAUAAAAAAUUGCUCCACCACUCGCUCUAAUUAACGAGGUAAUAUUUUUGUAUUAAUUAGUUUUAUUUUAACAUUUUAAUAUUUUUUCAACUAGUUUUAUUUCUGUAGUCUAGAGACUCGGGGAAGCGCAGGUGCGUUUCGGUGUCCGCUAAUUGCAUCCCCUAACAAAGCGCGCUAAGAGGCCGAGCGAUAUUCCAUUAUCAGUUGUGUACACACGUUGAUUAGAAGGAGCUCAAACCUGCUCUGCGGGUGGUCUUUGGCGAUAAUCUCAAUCUGAGAUCUCGGAGAUAUAAGCGUGCACGAUUAGGUAAGAGCGCAUAACGGGGAAACUAUGCGAGAAAUCCGUCAGUAUUACAUUCGCGUCGUGAACAAUGGCGUUGACGCGCCGCGUCAAUAUUUGCUCCGAUACUCCGGGGAUCAAUUGCAAUCUCUUCCUCUCUGCUCUCGUUUGCCUAAACGAGAUUAAGCUAUUUUCCACGCGUGGACCUCCUCGUCAGUCAGGUGCCGCGACUGCGACGCGAAGAUAUCUAAAUCCCGCCUCGUUCUAUUCUUAAUAGAGGUGCCGCCGUGAUUCUCUCUCCCUCUCUAUCUCUCUCUUUCUCUCUGUCGCUCUCUUUCUCUCUCGCUUGUCUCGCUCGAUCGGCCGUUCGGCCACGACAGGGAAUUCAGAGUUCUUUAUGACGCCCCGGAGACUGGCUCUUUAUAGGACACCGUGCACGAUGCGUCAGUCUGCGCACGUUUCCGUCACAUCUCUCGAUAACAGAAUUAUUUAAUUUUGAUAGAAUAUCGAUACUUUUACUAUUAUAGUUCAGGGGAGCGGCUUCUUCGGUCAGCAAUUAAAUGGCAUCUCGCGGACGCAUCGCGAUGUGAUUCAUCGGCGUGAACAGAUGAGACGUGAAAUCGUAAUUACGCGUUAUUUUUGUGCUCGCAUCGGCCCUUGGACGCGUAAAAUAUUCAAGGGCCAAUCGCGAAUCGCGGAGCUAUCGAUCAAUUUACGUUCCACCGCGAAACCAUCCCAUGCACGUCGGCUAUUGAUCAAGCUGCUCAUCGGGCCAGGGAUAUUUAAUGGUACAUUCGCAGAUAUUUCCCAUUAUCGACGAACGCAUUAGCGGGUAAUUUCACACAUUCGAUAAUCGCCAUGACAGCGUGGCAUUCGUCUCUUUAAAAUUCCUAAAUUGAUAUACAAUUUGCAAACUAAACGAGGAAUUAAGCAUUCAUGCAAAAAUGACGGAACACCCUGCGUGACGAAUUAUGCUUCAUUGAUAUGUAAAUUUUCGCCGCUGCAUUAAAUGAUUACGAGUACCUUGGCGCUGUCGACCACCGUAUUCCAGUCACGUGCACUUCCUGAACUGGUAAGAUAAACUCGGCGAAUCAAAAAGUUCGGUAGCAAAAUUACGUGCCGCUGUGUGAGGCGACCCCUUUAAUCCUCUCUUAAUUAAAGGGGUGGCCAGAGCAGCGACGGUGUAACUCGCUUAUAUCGUUUCUCGAUUCCAGCGGAAAAGGAAAGUAAUCCCGUUCGUUGUUAUUCGCCUCCAAUGAUCAGCUUACUUUCGGUCCAAUUAUCGAAGCACGCGAUGAAGAUGAGAACGAAAGUAAAAGCGCGUGAAAAAAGUGAGAAUCAAGCAGAUUUAUUUCUGCAUAAUUUAUGUGCGAUAUACUAAAUGAUAUAGUAAAACAUGUAGAAACUGUCUCAACGAUAUUAAUCAAUAUAAGUACAUUGGAAAUCAUGAAAAUUAGAGACACUGAAUAAAAUUACGGAAUUACAAAAAAA